RNAcentral lists this ribosomal RNA (426 nucleotides) under uncultured bacterium. RNAcentral describes it as "bacterial SSU rRNA". It matches the Rfam family "Bacterial small subunit ribosomal RNA", at positions 917 to 1344 of the family's 1533-position model. The record is from RNAcentral.
GGGCCCGCACAAGCGGUGGAGUAUGUGGUUUAAUUCGAUGCAACGCGAAGAACCUUACCAGGGUUUGACAUCCUGCGAAUCUCUUGGAAACAGGAGAGUGCCUUCGGGAACGCAGUGACAGGUGGUGCAUGGCUGUCGUCAGCUCGUGUCGUGAGAUGUUGGGUUAAGUCCCGCAACGAGCGCAACCCACGUCUUUAGUUGCCAGCAUUUAGUUGGGCACUCUAGAGAGACCGCCGGUGAUAAACCGGAGGAAGGUGUGGAUGACGUCAAGUCAUCAUGGCCCUUACGGCUAGGGCUUCACACGUGCUACAAUGGUCGGUACAGAGGGUUGCGAAAUCGCGAGGUGGAGCCAAUCCCAAAAAGCCGAUCUCAGUUCGGAUUGGAGUCUGCAACUCGACUCCAUGAAGUCGGAAUCGCUAGUAAUCG